UUGUUGUUGUAACAAAGUUUUAGAAACUUGAGAAGUUUCUGUAGCAAGUUGUAUAGUGGGUAAUUUAAGAGGUGGUGGAAGUAAAAUAGGUUCAUAAAUAAUGGGAUUACUAGCUUCAGAGGUUUUGGAAAUGACUGGAAUGGGUUGAGAAGUAGGAGGAGGUUGGAUUGGUAAGAUCCUUUCAGAAAUCACAGAAUCAGGAGUAAUCAGAGUGCUAGCUUCAAGAAGCUUACCAGAUGCAGUGUCAGAAGUUUUUGAAAAGUGCUGGACAACUCCAG
This 278-nucleotide long non-coding RNA is filed under the name Lathyrus oleraceus (garden pea). RNAcentral describes it as "Pisum sativum (pea) long non-coding RNA (PSAT_LNC040000)". Lineage: Eukaryota; Viridiplantae; Streptophyta; Magnoliopsida; Fabales; Fabaceae. The record is from RNAcentral.